This 439-nucleotide ribosomal RNA is filed under the name uncultured bacterium. RNAcentral describes it as "partial 16S ribosomal RNA". It matches the Rfam family "Bacterial small subunit ribosomal RNA", at positions 339 to 795 of the family's 1533-position model. The record is from RNAcentral.
CUACGGGACGCACCAGUGGGGAAUCUUAGACAAUGGGGGAAACCCUGAUCUAGCCAUGCCGCGUGAGCAACGACGGCCCUAGGGUUGUAAAGCUCUUUCAGCAGGGAAGAUAAUGACGGUACCUGCAGAAGAAGUCCCGGCUAACUCCGUGCCAGCAGCCGCGGUAAUACGGAGGGGACUAGCGUUGUUCGGAAUUACUGGGCGUAAAGCGCGCGUAGGCGGAUUGUUAAGUCGGGGGUGAAAUCCCGGGGCUCAACCCCGGAACUGCCCUCGAUACUGGCAGUCUUGAGUUCGAGAGAGGUGAGUGGAAUUCCGAGUGUAGAGGUGAAAUUCGUAGAUAUUCGGAGGAACACCAGUGGCGAAGGCGGCUCACUGGCUCGAUACUGACGCUGAGGUGCGAAAGCGUGGGGAGCAAACAGGAUUAGAUACCCUUGUAGUC